UACGUAGGGCGCGAGCGUUGUCCGGAAUUAUUGGGCGUAAAGGGCUUGUAGGCGGUUGGCCGCGUCUGCCGUGAAAUCCUCUGGCUUAACUGGGGGCGUGCGGUGGGUACGGGCUGGCUUGAGUGCGGUAGGGGAGACUGGAAUUCCUGGUGUAGCGGUGGAAUGCGCAGAUAUCAGGAGGAACACCGGUGGCGAAGGCGGGUCUCUGGGCCGUUACUGACGCUGAGGAGCGAAAGCGUGGGGAGCGAACAGGAUUAGAUACCCGGGUAGUCC
RNAcentral lists this ribosomal RNA (273 nucleotides) under uncultured bacterium. Its description in RNAcentral is "partial 16S ribosomal RNA". It matches the Rfam family "Bacterial small subunit ribosomal RNA", at positions 524 to 796 of the family's 1533-position model. The record is from RNAcentral.